CCUACGGGCGGCAGCAGUGGGGAAUAUUGGACAAUGGGGGCAACCCUGAUCCAGCCAUGCCGCGUGUGUGAAGAAGGCCCUCGGGUGGUAAAGCACUUUCAGUGAGGAAGAACGCCUGGUGGUUAAUACCCAUCAGGAAAGACAUCACUCACAGAAGAAGCACCGGCUAACUCCGUGCCAGCAGCCGCGGUAAUACGGAGGGUGCGAGCGUUAAUCGGAAUUACUGGGCGUAAAGCGCGCGUAGGUGGCUUGAUAAGCCGGUUGUGAAAGCCCCGGGCUCAACCUGGGAACGGCAUCCGGAACUGUCAAGCUAGAGUGCAGGAGAGGAAGGUAGAAUUCCCGGUGUAGCGGUGAAAUGCGUAGAGAUCGGGAGGAAUACCAGUGGCGAAGGCGGCCUUCUGGACUGACACUGACACUGAGGUGCGAAAGCGUGGGUAGCAAACAGGAUUAGAUACCCUUGUAGUC
Molecule: ribosomal RNA, 465 nt
Filed under: Vreelandella stevensii
Lineage: Bacteria; Pseudomonadati; Pseudomonadota; Gammaproteobacteria; Oceanospirillales; Halomonadaceae
Description: partial 16S ribosomal RNA
Rfam family: Bacterial small subunit ribosomal RNA
Source: RNAcentral